GUGAAUCAUCAAAUUUUUGAACGCAAAUUGCACUUUCUGGUAUUCCGGAAAGUAUGCCUGUUUGAGGGUCAGUUAAAUAAAAAUCGGUGUUGUUGCUGCCUUUCGUGGUGACGAGUUGGAUUUGAGUCGUUUUACCUUAGGUUAAGUGACUGAAAAUUUUGCAUGAUAUUCGAACGUAUUUAAUGCGUUUACGUUCGUUUGAGUUAUCGAAGGCUUGUUA
RNAcentral lists this unclassified non-coding RNA (220 nucleotides) under Glomus sp. Its description in RNAcentral is "partial contains 5.8S ribosomal RNA and internal transcribed spacer 2". The stretch from base 1 to 71 matches the Rfam family "5.8S ribosomal RNA", at positions 84 to 154 of the family's 154-position model. The record is from RNAcentral. Lineage: Eukaryota; Fungi; Glomeromycota; Glomeromycetes; Glomerales; Glomeraceae.